Molecule: long non-coding RNA, 808 nt
Organism: Nasonia vitripennis (jewel wasp)
Lineage: Eukaryota; Metazoa; Arthropoda; Insecta; Hymenoptera; Pteromalidae
Exons: 2
Source: RefSeq, a predicted model, not a curated record
CAAACUAUGCGAACAAAUUAUCAUAUCAUUUUCUAUUUUUACAAAAAUACAACACCUGAUUGAAUGAAGCUACUGAUACAGAUACCAUUUAAAUUAACGAUACUUCUUUUAAUCAGUAUUGAAGUUUUCAAAUGAUAAAUGUAUGUCUCGUAAAGACAUACUUGAUAAGAUAAUUUUAUCCGAUUAGAUAAAAAAUUGGAGAAAUCACGGGAUAAAGAUAUGUGUGAUUGAGUCGUUAAACGUGAAAGCAGAGCGCAAAAAGUUGCCCAAGACAAAAACUCAAGUUUGAAAUGUGAAAUUUUAAUUUAUAUUUAUGAAUAUGUAUAAGAUAGGGAAGAUUCGGUGCAAAAAAGUUUGAGAUUCGAUUUUUAAAGUAACAUUUUAAAAAAAUCAUUUGAUGCGCCUAGUAAAACAAGACUAAUACGUCUGUGAAAAUAACGUAACAGAUCGUGAUAUAAAAUGGGUCUAUCGUGCGGCAAGGAGCAGUUUGACGUCGAUAAAAAUACGGCGUUCACGUCCCAAAGCGACGGCUUUUACCGGACUUUCGAGCAUUUAAGCUACUGGAACGUGAUAAAGAAUGGCAAAGGACACACUGAACCUGAAAGUUCUGUGGAAAACCGAUCAGUAGCUUCAACCAUACGAGUUAAUGGUAAUGGAAAAUCGGAGAGUUCCUCAACCAAUGAGGAAGAAUCAAAAAGUAACACGAUGAAAACUAUAAAUGAAUAAGUACCCAAGACUUUUUUUGUAACGCAAACGCUUUUUUAUGAUUUUCUUUGUACUCGAAAAUAAAAUGUAUUAUUUCUGAAAA